UGGGGAAUUUUGGACAAUGGGCGCAAGCCUGAUCCAGCCAUGCCGCGUGCGGGAAGAAGGCCUUCGGGUUGUAAACCGCUUUUGUCAGGGAAGAAAAGGUUCUGGCUAAUACCUGGGACUCAUGACGGUACCUGAAGAAUAAGCACCGGCUAACUACGUGCCAGCAGCCGCGGUAAUACGUAGGGUGCAAGCGUUAAUCGGAAUUACUGGGCGUAAAGCGUGCGCAGGCGGUUAUGCAAGACAGAGGUGAAAUCCCCGGGCUCAACCUGGGAACUGCCUUUGUGACUGCAUGGCUAGAGUACGGUAGAGGGGGAUGGAAUUCCGCGUGUAGCAGUGAAAUGCGUAGAUAUGCGGAGGAACACCGAUGGCGAAGGCAAUCCCCUGGACCUGUACUGACGCUCAUGCACGAAAGCGUGGGGAGCAAACAGGAUUAGAUACCCUGGUAGUCCACGCCCUAAACGAUGUCAACUGGUUGUUGGGAGGGUUUC
Molecule: ribosomal RNA, 488 nt
Filed under: uncultured Pseudomonadota bacterium
Lineage: Bacteria; Pseudomonadati; Pseudomonadota
Description: bacterial SSU rRNA
Rfam family: Bacterial small subunit ribosomal RNA
Source: RNAcentral